UUGUCGGAUAAACGGCUGCGGCAUCUUAAUCACAGUUAGCUUGUGUUGUUGAAGACAUCAUUAUACAGUUGCAUAGUUGCUGCUGUGUGACGAUGAAUCAACCCCUGGAACAUGACCCUAUUUUUGAGAUACCUAAUGACUGCCAACGAGAAGCAAGUUUCAGGGGUUGGUCUUACAUGCAUAUUCCAAUAGAACCGCUCGUGGGAGGAGGAUUUACCUGUAUAAAUCCCAACACCUCAACAGUAGUAUGCACUGCCUGUGGACUGCAGGCCGACGCUGCAAGACUGAACGGCACAAGUCCGUAUGAUUUCCAUGUCCAACGAUCUCCUGGGUGUUUGUUCUUCAACCCUUUUAGACACGAGUCGAACCGCAGACAGUCCUUCCUGUAUUGGAGUGGAUACAGUGGGGCCCUGGAUAUUGAUGAUCUCGUUGCUGCUGGAUUUUAUCUUACCGAAUUUGGACAAGGGAAUAUUCAAUGUUUCUGCUGUGGUAUCAGUUCAUCAUCUUUAAGUCAAAUCGUUGACAUCAAACAACAACACGCUCAACUUAGCCCGCAUUGUGUCUUCAUAAGGAACGUGUAGAGCCAGUAACUAAAUAGAAGACUCCAAUGAAAUGAACUGAAUAGAACUGUGCAAUGUGGCUAUUUUCUUGGACAAUUAUUCCGUUGUUUUAUCUAAUAAAACAAAGUCAUUUAGUUAAUGUUAACUAUGACGCAGUAACCAUUGGUAGGUAAAUGACACUGUUGAUGGAAUUUAUAAUGACAAAUGAUCCUUAAUUACUCCUACUCCAAAGGGCAUCUCAUCUAAAGAACGAACUAGGCAACGUUUUGUUAAUGUCACUUGUUCAAACCCCCAAAAUUAGACCAUGGCAUCAUUAACAAAUUCGAAGGUUGAUUCAAAUUCAAUCUUGUUACUCUGUAAAUCGUUUUCCUUACAUUUAUUCAUGCUCCGUUUCUCUAGCUAUGUUCCUUAAUUAAUUGACUGUAUCAGUCCUCUAAUUCAAUAAAAAACAAAA
Mizuhopecten yessoensis (Yesso scallop) is the source of this 1014-nucleotide long non-coding RNA. RefSeq lists it as uncharacterized. The transcript is spliced from 3 exons. Lineage: Eukaryota; Metazoa; Mollusca; Bivalvia; Pectinida; Pectinidae. The record is from RefSeq and is a predicted model, not a curated record.